GGAGGAAAAGAAACCAACAGGGAUUGCCUCAGUAACGGCGAGUGAAGCGGCAACAGCUCAAAUUUGAAAUCUGGCCUCACGGUCCGAGUUGUAAUUUGUAGAGGAUGUUUCGAGCAUGGUCCGGCCUAAGUGUCUUGGAACAGGACGUCAUAGAGGGUGAGAACCCCGUAUGCGGUCGGGUGCCUACGCUCAUGUGAAACUCCUUCGACGAGUCGAGUUGUUUGGGAAUGCAGCUCAAAAUGGGUGGUAAAUUUCAUCUAAAGCUAAAUAUUGGCCAGAGACCGAUAGCGCACAAGUAGAGUGAUCGAAAGAUGAAAAGCACUUUGGAAAGAGAGUUAAACAGUACGUGAAAUUGUUGAAAGGGAAGCGCUUGCAACCAGACUUGGGCGCGGCCGAUCAUCCGGUGUUCUCACCGGUGCACUCGGUCGCGUGCAGGCCAGCAUCGGUUCUGGUGGCUGGAUAAAGGCCCUAGGAAUGUGGCUCCUCUCGGGGAGUGUUAUAGCCUAGGGUGCAAUGCAGCCUACCGGGACCGAGGACCGCGCUUCGGCUAGGAUGCUGGCGUAAUGGUUGUAAGUGACCCGUCUUGAAACACGGACCAAGGAGUCUAACAUCUAUGCGAGUGUUUGGGUGUCAAACCCAUACGCGUAAUGAAAGUGAACGGAGGUGAGAACCCUUAAGGGUGCAUCAUCGACCGAUCCUGAUGUCUUCGGAUGGAUUUGAGUAUGAGCAUAGCUGUUGGGACCCGAAAGAUGGUGAACUAUGCCUGACUAGGGUGAAGCCAGAGGAAACUCUGGUGGAGGCUCGCAGC
This 808-nucleotide unclassified non-coding RNA is filed under the name Bettsia alvei. RNAcentral describes it as "sequence contains 28S rRNA gene". It matches the Rfam family "Eukaryotic large subunit ribosomal RNA", at positions 52 to 881 of the family's 3401-position model. Lineage: Eukaryota; Fungi; Ascomycota; Leotiomycetes. The record is from RNAcentral.